This 237-nucleotide ribosomal RNA is filed under the name uncultured bacterium. RNAcentral describes it as "partial 16S ribosomal RNA". It matches the Rfam family "Bacterial small subunit ribosomal RNA", at positions 118 to 347 of the family's 1533-position model. The record is from RNAcentral.
UGAGCAAUCUGCCCUUCUCUUUGGAAUAAGCGUUGGAAACGACGUCUAAUGUCGAAUACGACCUCCUUUCGCAUGAUCGGAGGUGGAAAGCUCCGGCGGAGAAGGAUGAGCUCGCGGCCUAUCAGCUAGUUGGUGUGGGUAAUGGCCCACAAGGCGACGACGGGUAGCCGGCCUGGAGGAGGGUGAUCCGGCCACACGUGGGACUGAGACACGGCCCAGACCUCCGUACGGGAGCAG